GAUGAACGCUGGCGGCGUGCCUAAUACAUGCAAGUCGAGCGAACGGACGAGAAGCUUGCUUCUCUGAUGUUAGCGGCGGACGGGCGAGUAACACGUGGAUAACCUACCUAUUUGACUGGGAUAACUUCGGGAAACAGCUGAUACUACCGGAUAAUAUUUUCAACGGCAUGGUUCAAAAGUGAAAGACGGUUUUGCUGUCUCUUAGAGAUGGAUCCGCGCUGCAUUAGCUAGUUGGUAAGGUAACGGCUUACCAAGGCAACGAUGCAUAGCCGACCUGAGAGGAUGAUCGGCCACACUGGAACUGAGACACGGUCCAGACUCCUACGGGAGGCAGCAGUAGGGAAUAUUCCACAAUAGGCGAAAGCCUGACGGAGCAACACCGCGUGAGUGAAGAAGGUCUUCGGAUUGUAAAGCUCUUUUAUUAGGAAAGAACAGAAGUGGAAUAAAAUGUGCACAUCUUGACGGUACCUAAACAGAAAGCCACGGCUAACUACGUG
RNAcentral lists this ribosomal RNA (497 nucleotides) under uncultured bacterium. RNAcentral's name for it is "partial 16S ribosomal RNA". It matches the Rfam family "Bacterial small subunit ribosomal RNA", at positions 28 to 507 of the family's 1533-position model. The record is from RNAcentral.